Molecule: ribosomal RNA, 425 nt
Filed under: uncultured bacterium
Lineage: Bacteria
Description: partial 16S ribosomal RNA
Rfam family: Bacterial small subunit ribosomal RNA
Source: RNAcentral
GUGGGGAAUAUUGGGCAAUGGGCGAAAGCCUGACCCAGCAACGCCGCGUGAAGGAAGAAGGUCUUCGGAUCGUAAACUUCUAUCCUUGGUGAAGAUAAUGACGGUAGCCGAGAAGGAAGCCCCGGCUAACUACGUGCCAGCAGCCGCGGUAAUACGUAGGGGGCAAGCGUUGUCCGGAAUGAUUGGGCGUAAAGGGCGCGUAGGCGGCCUGGUAAGUCUGGAGUGAAGGUACUGCUUUUAAGGUGGGAAUUGCUUUGGAUACUGUCGGGCUUGAGUGCAGGAGAGGUAAGUGGAAUUCCCGGUGUAGCGGUGAAAUGCGGAGAGAUCGGGAGGAACACCAGUGGCGAAGGCGACUUACUGGACUGUAACUGACGCUGAGGCGCGAAAGUGUGGGGAGCAAACAGGAUUAGAUACCCGUGUAGUCC